This 253-nucleotide ribosomal RNA is filed under the name uncultured bacterium. RNAcentral describes it as "partial 16S ribosomal RNA". It matches the Rfam family "Bacterial small subunit ribosomal RNA", at positions 524 to 776 of the family's 1533-position model. The record is from RNAcentral.
UACGUAGGUGACAAGCGUUGUCCGGAUUUAUUGGGCGUAAAGAGCGUGUAGGCGGCCAUACAGGUCCGUUGUGAAAACUGGAGGCUUAACCUCCAGACGUCGAUGGAAACCGUAUGGCUAGAGUCCGGAAGAGGAGAGUGGAAUUCCUGGUGUAGCGGUGAAAUGCGCAGAUAUCGGGAAGAACACCCGUGGCGAAGGCGGUUCUCUGGGACGGUACUGACGCUGAGACGCGAAAGCGUGGGGAGCGAACAGG